ACUGUACAUAUACUGGACAAUUCGAUUCCAUAGGCUUCAAUAACACGUUAUCUGUCCAUAAUGGGAGGUGUCCACCACCGCCAUUUUGACCGUGUCACAGGUUCCGUCCAGCCCAGACAAUUCCAUAAAAGGGAAGAGAGGAGGCGCUGAGGGUGUGGCUGUAAGGCUGGGCUCGAGUGACGACACCCAGGCGAACUAGCUACGAGCUAACCUGAAGCUAACCCUGGCUAACCCAAAGCUAAAGCGGAGGUGGGAGCCGAGCUAACGGAUGUAGCCACCUAGCUUCAACCCAACCGGAGCUAACUGGAACACCCAUCGACCUGAACCUCAUACGGUGUUUAGGUGGAGGUUUUCUGCGCCUGUUCGUGAGAAGUACCUGUAUUAAAAAAGUUUUAAAUCGAUCUAUUAAAAGGUCACCAUGGCAGCCUGUGUGUCUCCAACGUCAGCUACACAAAGCAGCAAGUGUAAGUACCAAGUACUUGUCUUGACCACUUCAUGAAUGGUUUUGUACUUUAAACAGCUAGGCCAAACCUGUUAUUUUUUCCUCCAUAGCCAUUUGGAUCAUUGGAGACAGCUGAGUGAGGCGUGGUGCCCAGAGAGCUGCAGAGACAACCUUGGCCUCCCUGACGUCUGUGUCUCUUGGUUUGGUUGGGGCGGACCAUCGACAUACAUACAUGUGCCGACACUUUGCGCCCUGUUUUAUAAACUGUAGUGUUAAAAAUAAAUGUUUUUGCUCAA
Non-coding RNA from Nothobranchius furzeri (turquoise killifish), 738 nucleotides. Lineage: Eukaryota; Metazoa; Chordata; Actinopteri; Cyprinodontiformes; Nothobranchiidae. The record is from RefSeq and is a predicted model, not a curated record.